Long non-coding RNA from Piliocolobus tephrosceles (Ugandan red Colobus), 950 nucleotides. RefSeq lists it as uncharacterized. The transcript has 3 exons. The record is from RefSeq and is a predicted model, not a curated record. Lineage: Eukaryota; Metazoa; Chordata; Mammalia; Primates; Cercopithecidae.
UGGCGGGAAAGGACGUUCCCUAGUCGGCUCGACGCUUCAACACCAUCAAUAAGAGCCUGCCCACGGCCUCGGCGGUGGUUUCCUGAGUAACAGAGGGUCGAAGAACCCCUGAGCAACGCGACACCGGAAGGGCUAGGAAGAAAAAAUACAUGGAAUGAGGAAGCAGACCACUCCUGCCUUCGAAAUCCUCUUCGUGAGGUUUGUAGAAUUCCUAAGAACUCAGGAAAGACAUCAGCAGAGGGCAAUGACCGUCAUAGCCAGACCUUCCCAGCUCACACUGACUCCUCCUUCUCUGAACCCCUACAGAUGCACUGUCACCUCCGUUCAUACAGUGUUUACUUGGUCCUUUCAGUCCCAUGGGGUUUAGAGAUCUGUUCUCCUAACAGCUUCUUGCCUAUUUCACACGGCCUAUUGCAAAACUAGCUCCACACAGACGGCACCCACCCCAGCUACUUGUCGAAUUACAACCUGAUGAUGGAGCCACUGGAAACUAAGAAUGGAAAGGCUGUAAAGAAAUCACAGCAUUCACCUGCUGGAAGAAAAAGACUAUUUCUAAGAAAGUAAAAUAAAUGGAUAAAAGCACUUAAAAAGGAGCAUAAUGCAUAACUCCCAGUCUUGACCUGGAUCUCUAUCAAAUCCUCUCCCUGUCACAGAUGCUCUUUCUACCUUAAAUGAAUCCUAUUUUGGCUGAGAAAAUAGUUGUGUGCCUGUGGGUAAAUGACUAAACUCUUUUCACCUCCCUAAGUUAUGCAGGGUGUUAGCCGCUUACUGGCAAGAAGUCUCACUCUAUAAAGGGGCAUUCUGCCUCCUCAUUUAAGGGUUUCAUGUGUAGGGUGUGGGAUACUCUCUUGCUGAGUAGGUGGCCAAGAGAAAAAUACCUCUAGUUUAUUUCUUCUGGAAGUCAUCAGAUGAAACUACCAGCAUUGCUGGGGGUGGUGGCUCAUGCCUGU